RNAcentral lists this ribosomal RNA (465 nucleotides) under uncultured bacterium. RNAcentral describes it as "partial 16S ribosomal RNA". It matches the Rfam family "Bacterial small subunit ribosomal RNA", at positions 28 to 507 of the family's 1533-position model. The record is from RNAcentral.
GAUGAACGCUGGCGGCGUGCUUAACACAUGCCAGUCGAACGGAAAGGCUCCUGCUUGCAGGGGUACUCGAGUGGCGAACGGGUGAGUAACACGUGGGUGAUCUGCCCUGCACUUCGGGAUAGGCCUGGGAAACUGGGUCUAAUACCGGAUAGGACCACAUUUUGGAUGGUGUGGUGGAAAGUUUUUCGGUGUGGGAUGAGCUCGCGGCCUAUCAGCUUGUUGGUGGGGUAAUGGCCUACCAAGGCGUCGACGGGUAGCCGGCCUGAGAGGGUGUACGGCCACAUUGGGACUGAGAUACGGCCCAGACUCCUACGGGAGGCAGCAGUGGGGAAUAUUGCACAAUGGGCGCAAGCCUGAUGCAGCGACGCCGCGUGGGGGAUGACGGCCUUCGGGUUGUAAACUCCUUUCGCUAGGGACGAAGCGCAAGUGACGGUACCUGGAGAAGAAGCACCGGCUAACUACGUG